Molecule: ribosomal RNA, 1053 nt
Filed under: Ixodes ricinus (castor bean tick)
Lineage: Eukaryota; Metazoa; Arthropoda; Arachnida; Ixodida; Ixodidae
Description: SSU rRNA
Rfam family: Eukaryotic small subunit ribosomal RNA
Source: RNAcentral
UGCCGAAACAAGGCGAAACCGCGAAUGGCUCAUUAAAUCAGUUAUGGUUCCUUAGAUCGUUUCUUCCUACUUGGAUAACUGUGGCAAUUCUAGAGCUAAUACAUGCAGUGAGCCCGAAGCCCCUCGGGGCGACGGGUGCUUUUAUUAGACCAAGAUCAAUCGGGCUUCGGUCCGUUUUGUGUGGUGACUCUGGAUAACUUUGUGCUGAUCGCACGGCCACGAGCCGGCGACGUUUCUUUCAAGUGUCUGCCUUAUCAACUGUCGAUGGUAGGUUAUGCGCCUACCAUGGUUGUUACGGGUAACGGAGAAUCAGGGUUCGAUUCCGGAGAGGGAGCCUGAGAAACGGCUACCACAUCCAAGGAAGGCAGCAGGCGCGCAAAUUACCCACUCCCGGCACGGGGAGGUAGUGACGAAAAAUAACAAUACGGGACUCUUUUGAGGCCCCGUAAUUGAAAUGAGUACACUCUAAAUCCUUUAACGAGGAUCCAUUGGAGGGCAAGUCUGGUGCCAGCAGCCGCGGUAAUUCCAGCUCCAAUAGCGUAUACUAAAGUUGCUGCGGUUAAAAAGCUCGUAGUUGGAUCUCAGUUACAGGCGGGAAGUGCGUGGACACCACGUUACGGCCCGUGCUGAACAUCAUGCCUGUCGUGGCUUGGUUCCCUUCAUCAGGUGCCUUGCUUUGACCGGCGCGUUUACUUUGAAAAAAUUAGAGUGCUCAACGCAGGCGAUUCGCCUGAAUAACAGUGCAUGGAAUAAUAGAACAAGAUCCUGUUUCUGUUCUGUUGGUUUUUGGAAUACAGGAUAAUGAUUAAGAGGGACAGACGGGGGCAUUCGUAUUGCGGCGCUAGAGGUGAAAUUCUUGGACCGUCGCAAGACGAACUACUGCGAAAGCAUUUGCCAAGAAUGUUUUCAUUGAUCAAGAACGAAAGUUAGAGGUUCGAAGGCGAUCAGAUACCGCCCUAGUUCUAACCAUAAACGAUGCCAACCAGCGAUCCGCCUGAGUUACUCAAAUGACUCGGCGGGCAGCUUCCGGGAAACCAAAGUAUUUGGGUUCCG